Molecule: ribosomal RNA, 253 nt
Filed under: uncultured bacterium
Lineage: Bacteria
Description: partial 16S ribosomal RNA
Rfam family: Bacterial small subunit ribosomal RNA
Source: RNAcentral
GACGUAGGAUGCGAGCGUUGUCCGGAUUUAUUGGGCGUAAAGAGCUCGUAGGCGGUUUGUCGCGUCUGCUGUGAAAUCCCGAGGCUCAACCUCGGGCCUGCAGUGGGUACGGGCAGACUGGAGUGCGGUAGGGGAGAAUGGAAUUCCUGGUGUAGCGGUGGAAUGCGCAGAUAUCAGGAGGAACACCGGUGGCGAAGGCGGGUCUCUGGGCCGAUACUGACGCUGAGGAGCGAAAGCGUGGGGAGCGAACAGG